RNAcentral lists this ribosomal RNA (402 nucleotides) under uncultured Bryobacter sp. Its description in RNAcentral is "bacterial SSU rRNA". It matches the Rfam family "Bacterial small subunit ribosomal RNA", at positions 355 to 774 of the family's 1533-position model. The record is from RNAcentral. Lineage: Bacteria; Pseudomonadati; Acidobacteriota; Terriglobia; Bryobacterales; Bryobacteraceae.
UGGGGAAUCUUGCACAAUGGGGGAAACCCUGAUGCAGCGACGCCGCGUGAGCGAUGAAGCCCUUCGGGGUGUAAAGCUCUUUCGACGGGAACGAUAAUGACGGUACCCGGAGAAGAAGCUGCGGCUAACUACGUGCCAGCAGCCGCGGUAAUACGUAGGCAGCAAGCGUUGUUCGGAAUUACUGGGCGUAAAGAGUGUGUAGGCGGUGCUCUAAGUUCGGUGUGAAAUCUCCCGGCUCAACUGGGAGGGUGCGCCGAAAACUGGAGUGCUGGAGCGCGGGAGAGGAAAGCGGAAUUCCUGGUGUAGCGGUGAAAUGCGUAGAUAUCAGGAGGAACACCGGCGGUGUAGACGGCUUUCUGGACCGUAGCUGACGCUGAGACACGAAAGCGUGGGUAGCAAACA